GGGAUUGCCCCAGUAACGGCGAGUGAAGCGGCAGUAGCUCAAAUUUGAAAUCUGGGGUCCCCGACCUCCGAGUUGUAAUUUGGAGAGGCAUCUUCGGGGGGGAGCGCCGGCCCAUGUUCCUUGGAACAGGACGUCGCAGAGGGUGAGAAUCCCGUGCCAGGCCGGCUCCCUCCUCCCGGGUGAAGCGCCUUCGACGAGUCGAGUUGUUUGGGAAUGCAGCUCCAAGUGGGUGGUAAGUUUCAUCUAAAGCUAAAUACCGGCGGGAGACCGAUAGCGCACAAGUAGAGUGAUCGAAAGAUGAAAAGCACUUUGAAAAUAGAGUCAAAAAGUACGUGAAAUUGUUGAAAGGGAAGCGCUUGAGACCAGACUCAGGCCCGGGCAAACACCGCGCCCCCCCCGGGGCCGUGCAAUUGCCUGGGGCUGGGCCAGCAUCAGUCGGCGUGGCGGGAAAAAGGCGCGGGUAAUGUGGCUCCCCUCGGGGAGUGUUACCAGCCCCGCGCUCAAUGCCGCCGACGCCGACUGAGGACCGCGCCUCGGCUAGGAUGCUGGCUUAAUGGCCUUCAGCGACCCGUCUUGAAACACGGACCAAGGAGUCUAACAUCUAUGCGAGUGUUUGGGCGCCAAACCCUUGCGCGGAAUGAAAGUGAGCGGAGGUGGGAACCCCCCAGCGGGGCGCACCAUCGACCGAUCCUGAUGUCU
This 699-nucleotide ribosomal RNA is filed under the name Helvella capucina. RNAcentral describes it as "partial large subunit ribosomal RNA". It matches the Rfam family "Eukaryotic large subunit ribosomal RNA", at positions 71 to 779 of the family's 3401-position model. Lineage: Eukaryota; Fungi; Ascomycota; Pezizomycetes; Pezizales; Helvellaceae. The record is from RNAcentral.